RNAcentral lists this ribosomal RNA (254 nucleotides) under uncultured bacterium. Its description in RNAcentral is "partial 16S ribosomal RNA". It matches the Rfam family "Bacterial small subunit ribosomal RNA", at positions 524 to 776 of the family's 1533-position model. The record is from RNAcentral.
UACGUAGGCAGCGAGCGUUGUUCGGAGUUACUGGGCGUAAAGGGUGUGUAGGCGGUUGUUUAAGUUUGGUGUGAAAUCUCCCGGCUCAACUGGGAGGGUGCGCCGAAUACUGAAUGACUUGGAGUGCGGGAGAGGAGAGUGGAAUUCCUGGUGUAGCGGUGAAAUGCGUAGAUAUCAGGAGGAACACCGGUGGUGUAGACGGCUCUCUGGACCGUAACUGACGCUGAGACACGAAGGCGUGGGUAGCAAACAGG